AUGGCUCAUUUAUUUGCUGAGUGGGACUGGAGGCCCACAGCCGCAGAAGAUCCUGGCCCCACAGCAGCUAGAGAGUAAGCUCAGAGUGCUGUCAGUUCUCUCCUGCUGCCUCUCGCCAUGAUGGUGUAGUGGAAAAAUGGUCAACAAGGCUGUUUCCUACUGUGUCCUAAAUGCCCAUCAUGAGAAGUCCCAGGAACAAGAAGAUCAUGGGUGAGGCAGCUGCUCAGAAACAAAUGUCUUUCAACAGUUACCCCCAGGCAUGGGUGAUACAUCCUCUUCGCAGACUUCAGAAAAACAGCAGAUUUGUGAUUUAACUGGGAGUUUUCUGGGAUCAAACAGUGGCUUCGUUUACAGGUAGGUUGCCGAGCGGCCAUGAUAACUGAUGGAGCAGUCACUAUGGUGGUCAGUAGGACUGAGUGAGAAGGGUGCCCUGGGAGCCUGGAAGCCUGGGAGACAGCAGGGCCGCAGUCGUCCAUUUCCCACCCAGUUUUUCCUGUCUCUCAGGGACCCCUGGCAGUUGCUCAGCUGGUGCUAAAUUGAGAAGCAGCCUGUGAACAUGAAGGGUAUAUGGCAGAGGAUCCCAAUUUGGCUUCUGCAAGAAGUAGAACAAUGAGCUACCUGGGGAGGCCCUGUGCCUCCGACUCUUGCUGCUCCUUGGAGCUUCGGGUCUCCGAGAAUAAACACCCAGUGUACUCUGGGGACCUAACCGCUAAUCCCAGGAGCUGAGCUAAAGAGAAAUAGUGUGUUUUGCUUGUUUCAUCAAGCUGAAGUCUGGGUCACCUGAUCCAGGCUUAUUUUCUGCUCCUCUGCAACUUCUGCCUGAGGGGACAGGCAGUCGCAGCCUAUACACAGCCUGGGCACAGCCCUCCAGGUCCUACUGGGACCAGAAAUUCCUUCUGGCUUUAGACUCCUCAUCCUGGUGCUUCUUGCCUGAGCCCUUUGGGAAAGGCACCCUGUAGAUGAGAAUUGCUGACAGUUUGAGGGAGUGAAAACGUGCAGGAAGGCAGAGGAUGUUCCCGUUGCGUUUAAGGUCAGCUGUGUUUGGAGAGGAUUCAAAAUGCAAGCGUACUAAUACAGUCACUGGAGGCCAAGUUAAUUUAUUGCCUCCUGGUUACAGCAUCAGUCCCGCCCCUUAGAACGAGUUGAAUUUUGGAGUCUAGUGGCCAGGCAGAAUCCUAUGGAACCUUCUCCAGCAUCCUCUUCAUGGUCAAUCUCAAGGUCACUCAGGGAUUGUCUUAACUAGUAAUAAUAAAAGAAGCCAGCACUUAGAGAGUUUCUUGCUUAGUACUCUACGAAAUGCUUUACAUAUGAUAUCUGAAAUAAUCCUCACAAGAACCCUAUAAAGAAAGGAUUAUUGCUGCCUCCAUUCUAUAAAUGAGAAAACUAAGGUUCAGAAAGGUCAAGUAACCCCAAGUCACAGAGCUGGUAAGUCGCACGAAUAAAAACUCAGAUUUGGGCAGGCUUACGUGUACACGCUCCCUGUGAGGGAUCCUGCCACCUGCCAGCCUAGCCACAACCAAAGGAAAAUAAUAGCUCAACCCUUCAUCAAUGCAAGGCACUUUGCUAAGGUGUUUGCUUGCAUUAUUCUAACUCUUGAAUGAGGAAACUGAAUCAGAGAGAUUCAUUCAUUUCCCCAAAGUCACACAGCUAGUGUGACAGAGGCUAUUUUCCUCUAAAAUCUAAUUUCUCCUUCUUGUACAGUAAUAGACCCUCAUUUUUAGCUGAGCAUGUGGCCUUCUGGAGUUAUGACUACAUUCUCCAGACUGUUGAAGCUAGGUGUCCUUGUGACUAAAUCGUGGGCAAUAGGAUAUAAGCAAAAGCGGAAUGCGUGGCUUCCUGGAACUCUCAGCAUUCUCUCCGCUGCUGAAAUGCAGACAUGACAGCUUGAGCCAGAGGGUGCCAGCCAGUGUCAUGAUGUGAUCAAGGCCAUCAACAGCAGAGCCGCAGGGGAGCAGGAGCCUUGGUCCCUGAGGUCACGCUGGAGCUAACUUGGGAAUCUUGAGUUGGCCACCUCCAAAAUUUUACAUGAAAGAGAAAAGUAAACAUCUAACUUGCUUAAGCUGCUAUUGUUUUGGGGUUUGUCAUUUAUAGCCAAACCUAAUCCUCAUUAACAUAGUGGUGGAACUGGAAUUUGAACCAGUUUGCUCCCAAGACCAAA
This is a long non-coding RNA of Piliocolobus tephrosceles (Ugandan red Colobus), 2158 nucleotides long. RefSeq lists it as uncharacterized. The transcript has 3 exons. NCBI's taxonomy places the organism in Eukaryota, Metazoa, Chordata, Mammalia, Primates, Cercopithecidae. The record is from RefSeq and is a predicted model, not a curated record.